UACGUAGGGCGCAGGCGUUGUCCGGAAUUAUUGGGCGUAAAGAGCUCGUAGGCGGCUUGUCACGUCGGGUGUGAAAGCCCGGGGCUUAACCCCGGGUCUGCAUUCGAUACGGGCUAGCUAGAGUGUGGUAGGGGAGAUCGGAAUUCCUGGUGUAGCGGUGAAAUGCGCAGAUAUCAGGAGGAACACCGGUGGCGAAGGCGGAUCUCUGGGCCAUUACUGGCGCUGAGGAGCGAAAGCGUGGGGAGCGAACAGG
RNAcentral lists this ribosomal RNA (253 nucleotides) under uncultured bacterium. RNAcentral describes it as "partial 16S ribosomal RNA". It matches the Rfam family "Bacterial small subunit ribosomal RNA", at positions 524 to 776 of the family's 1533-position model. The record is from RNAcentral.